GAUGAAGAACGCAGCGAACGUGCGAAACGUAAUGUGAAUUGCAGAAUUCAGUGAAUCAUCGAAUCUUUGAACGCAUCUUGCGCUCCUUGGUAUUCCGAGGAGCAUGCCUGUUUGAGUGUCGUGAAUACUCUCAACUUCAACCCUUUUUUCGGAAAGGGAGGAAGGUUGGACUUGGGUGUUUGUUGAAGUGCGAGCUUCGACUCAUCCUAAAUGCGUUAGCGAUCUGCCUCGAUCACACACAAUGUGAUAAUUAAAACUAAAGCAUUGUUUAAUGAUCAAGUCGAGACUGCUUCUAACUGUCGCAAGACAAUAACGUGCAUACAUUUGUGCAUGUCAUUUGACCUCAAAUCAGGUAGGACUACCCGCUGAACUUAAGCAUAUCAAUAAGCGGAGGA
RNAcentral lists this unclassified non-coding RNA (395 nucleotides) under soil metagenome. RNAcentral's name for it is "partial contains 5.8S ribosomal RNA, internal transcribed spacer 2, and large subunit ribosomal RNA". The stretch from base 1 to 121 matches the Rfam family "5.8S ribosomal RNA", at positions 35 to 154 of the family's 154-position model. The record is from RNAcentral.